UCUACCGCGUCUCGAUGGUAGAGCCGGCCUCAGGGGCGCCUCGGCGUUGGUGGCUUCGGUGAGGAAAAGUGAGAGUUCCAACUUUCCUCUUGGCCUGAGAGGUUUUUGGCGCAGAGCGUCGUCAUGUCAGAGAAAAAGCAGCCGGUGGAUUUGGGUCUCUUGGAGGAGGACGACGAGUUCGAGGAAUUCCCUGCCGAAGAUUGGGCUGGUUUAGAUGAAGAUGAAGAUGCACAUGUCUGGGAGGAUAAUUGGGAUGAUGACAAUGUAGAGGAUGACUUCUCCAAUCAGUUACGAGCUGAACUAGAGAAACAUGGUUAUAAGAUGGAGACCUCUUAGCAUCCAGAAGAAGUGUUGAAGCAACCUAAACUUGAACUGUACUAAAUUCUAAGUCAGAGAACCCAGGAUGGGACACUUUAAAAAAAAAAAAAAAAAAGUUUAUUUCAUUACCUGCUGGGAUUUAUUUUUGUUUUUGUAACACACACAAAAAAUAAAUGUUUUGAUCUAAUCUUGGUUUGGUUCAGAAGUCUUGAUCUUUUGCUUCCCGUCAUUAAUUUUCUCACACUAUUUAUGAUUUUCUGGGACUUUAUUAUAUAGAGAUAGUAAAUUCAUCUGAUCCCCGAUUCAGCACUUUUUUUUUUAACCACAUCAAUUUAAUGUUGAUCUUAUUCAUAAGGUUACUUCUUUUAAGUUACAUUUAACCUUAAUCUCAUCUGUAUUUUGAAAGCUUAGGAAACAUUUGCUGACAUCUCUAAGGUGACCCUUUAAAACCUGUGUUUUAAAAAUAUUAAUCAUUUUCAAUUGAUGCAAUUAGUUCCUGAGCCAUUAAUAAUAGUAUUAAUAGUUGAUAGAGUAUUAUUAGUACUGAAAACCAAGUGGUUUGAUCAUAGUCAGUGUCCUCUGUCAAAAUUGGUGAAGUAGGAUCAAGAGACUUUGUUAACAUAGGCAUAUUCUCAGGUACUACAUAAUAGAUUCAUUUAGUCUAAGAUUCUACAAAGUGAUUAUCAUUGCCACAUCUACUUUUGUGAGUGGGAGAUACAAUUUAGUUGGUA
This is a long non-coding RNA of Enhydra lutris kenyoni (northern sea otter), 1049 nucleotides long. RefSeq lists it as uncharacterized. The transcript has 3 exons. The record is from RefSeq and is a predicted model, not a curated record. NCBI's taxonomy places the organism in Eukaryota, Metazoa, Chordata, Mammalia, Carnivora, Mustelidae.